ACGCACAUAGACAUACAAAGAAACACAAGAUUUUUGAAGGGAAUGACUAUUGAAUAGUUUUUUUUCCCCAUCAAACAAGCAAAAGAUGAGCUACCUAAAAUUUAAAAAAAUUCAAAAGGUGGAUUGUGAGAGGGCAAUUCUACUAGUAGUUGGUUAUGCUCAUAUCAAAAGUUCAUUUACCAUGUGAUGCUAAAGGACUAGUGUUAAACCCCUGCUAGUGGCUUACAUGGGUUGGCAUGGACUGAUGUCUUUGCUGUCCCAACCU
This 265-nucleotide long non-coding RNA is filed under the name Elaeis guineensis (African oil palm). RNAcentral describes it as "long non-coding RNA (EGUI_LNC072439)". The record is from RNAcentral. Lineage: Eukaryota; Viridiplantae; Streptophyta; Magnoliopsida; Arecales; Arecaceae.